UGCAGGGUGCUCGAGUGGCGAACGGGUGAGUAACACGUGGGUGAUCUGCCCCUGACUUUGGGAUAAGCCUGGGAAACUGGGUCUAAUACCGGAUAUGACCAAGGAUUGCAUGGUUCUUGGUGGAAAGCUUUUGCGGUUGGGGAUGGGCCCGCGGCCUAUCAGCUUGUUGGUGGGGUAAUGGCCUACCAAGGCGACGACGGGUAGCCGACCUGAGAGGGUGAUCGGCCACACUGGGACUGAGACACGGCCCAGACUCCUACGGGAGGCAGCAGUGGGGAAUAUUGCACAAUGGGCGCAAGCCUGAUGCAGCGACGCCGCGUGAGGGAUGACGGCCUUCGGGUUGUAAACCUCUUUCAGCAGGGACGAAGCGCGAGUGACGGUACCUGCAGAAGAAGCACCGGCCAACUACGUGCCAGCAGCCGCGGUAAUACGUAGGGUGCGAGCGUUGUCCGGAAUUACUGGGCGUAAAGAGCUCGUAGGCGGUUUGUCGCGUCGUCUGUGAAAUUCUGCAGCUUAACUGCAGGCGUGCAGGCGAUACGGGCAGACUUGAGUAC
RNAcentral lists this ribosomal RNA (554 nucleotides) under Gordonia polyisoprenivorans. Its description in RNAcentral is "bacterial SSU rRNA". It matches the Rfam family "Bacterial small subunit ribosomal RNA", at positions 81 to 649 of the family's 1533-position model. Lineage: Bacteria; Bacillati; Actinomycetota; Actinomycetes; Mycobacteriales; Gordoniaceae. The record is from RNAcentral.